CCUACGGGAGGCAGCAGUAGGGAAUCUUCCACAAUGGGCGCAAGCCUGAUGGAGCAACACCGCGUGAGUGAAGAAGGGUUUCGGUUCGUAAAGCUCUGUUGUUGGAGAAGAACGUGCGUGAGAGUAACUGUUCACGCAGUGACGGUAUCCAACCAGAAAGUCACGGCUAACUACGUGCCAGCAGCCGCGGUAAUACGUAGGUGGCAAGCGUUAUCCGGAUUCAUUGGGCGUAAAGCGAGCGCAGGCGGACGCUUAGGUCUGAUGUGAAAGCCUUCGGCUUAACCGAAGAAGUGCAUCGGAAACCGGGCGACUUGAGUGCAGAAGAGGAGAGUGGAACUCCAUGUGGAGCGGUGAAAUGCGUAGAUAUAUGGAAGAACACCAGUGGCGAAGGCGGCUGACUGGUCUGCAACUGACGCUGAGGCUCGAAAGCAUGGGUAGCGAACAGGAUUAGAUACCCGUGUAGUC
RNAcentral lists this ribosomal RNA (465 nucleotides) under uncultured bacterium. RNAcentral's name for it is "partial 16S ribosomal RNA". It matches the Rfam family "Bacterial small subunit ribosomal RNA", at positions 338 to 795 of the family's 1533-position model. The record is from RNAcentral.